Molecule: ribosomal RNA, 481 nt
Filed under: uncultured bacterium
Lineage: Bacteria
Description: partial 16S ribosomal RNA
Rfam family: Bacterial small subunit ribosomal RNA
Source: RNAcentral
GAUGAACGCUGGCGGCGUGCUUAACACAUGCAAGUCGAACGAAGCAUUUGCGACAGAUUUUUUCGGAAUGAAGUUGCUUAUGACUGAGUGGCGGACGGGUGAGUAACGCGUGGGUAACCUGCCUUGUACUGGGGGAUAGCAGCUGGAAACGGCUGGUAAUACCGCAUAAGCGCACAAUGUUGCAUGACAUGGUGGGAAAAACUCCGGUGGUAUAAGAUGGACCCGCGUCUGAUUAGCUAGUUGGUGAGAUAACAGCCCACCAAGGCGACGAUCAGUAGCCGACCUGAGAGGGUGACCGGCCACAUUGGGACUGAGACACGGCCCAGACUCCUACGGGAGGCAGCAGUGGGGAAUAUUGCACAAUGGAGGAAACUCUGAUGCAGCGACGCCGCGUGAGUGAAGAAGUAAUUCGUUAUGUAAAGCUCUAUCAGCAGGGAAGAUAGUGACGGUACCUGACGAAGAAGCUCCGGCUAAAUACGUG